AUUGAACGCUGGCGGCAUGCCUUACACAUGCAAGUCGAACGGUAACAGGUCUUCGGAUGCUGACGAGUGGCGAACGGGUGAGUAAUACAUCGGAACGUGCCUAGUAGUGGGGGAUAACUACUCGAAAGAGUGGCUAAUACCGCAUGAGAUCUACGGAUGAAAGCAGGGGAUCGCAAGACCUUGUGCUACUAGAGCGGCCGAUGGCAGAUUAGGUAGUUGGUGGGAUAAAAGCUUACCAAGCCGACGAUCUGUAGCUGGUCUGAGAGGACGAUCAGCCACACUGGGACUGAGACACGGACCAGACUCCGCCGGGAGGCAGCAGUGGGGAAUUUUGGACAAUGGGCGAAAGCCUGAUCCAGCAAUGCCGCGUGCAGGAUGAAGUCCUGCGGGUUGUAAACUGCUUUUGCACGGAACGAAAAGCCCUGGGUUAAUACCCUGGGGUCAUGACGGUACCGUAAGAAUAAGCACCGGCUAACUACGUGCCAGCCGCCGCCGUAA
Molecule: ribosomal RNA, 498 nt
Filed under: uncultured bacterium
Lineage: Bacteria
Description: partial 16S ribosomal RNA
Rfam family: Bacterial small subunit ribosomal RNA
Source: RNAcentral